GUAAAGCGUAACACACCCCUGUUCACAGUAGCCUUGUGUUAACGAGACGACCCAUCCCUAGCUUGCAGCGUUUGAAUUCUACCAUUUCUAGUGUGAAUAUCGUUUAUCAAAGCUUUUAAAGGAGAGUUUGGUUGUACACCCACUCAGUUGGGUUCUUGUAAAUCUGUCAGACUAUGGCGUAAUCAAACUCCAUAACUAAGGCUCACUGUCAUUUGGCUGCAAAGUUUUCCUUCUUACCCAAUGCUUUUGCAUUUUAGACUUCCGAGGGCGCCGGAAAUCUAAAAGUUAUAUCAUCAGAUCAACAAUCAACCAAGUAGCUCAUGAACAAGGAAUGGAUGUUCCAUAUUAAACCUUCAACAGGAAAUUGCCUAGGUUCUUCAUAGUCAGGCGACAUAUUCCAGCGUACUUGUAGCAUUAAAUUUCCUGUCGACUGAUCUGAAGACUGUGUUAAAACUUCCCAUUUCAUCUUCUUUUCGACAGUUCGUCAGUAGAUAGAAAAGGACUAGCUAUAUUUGCUCCUAGCUAUAGCUGAUAGCUAUAAACUAUAUUUGAGUCCUUGUAUACGCAAAUGAGAGACGGAGAUAGUGGGGUCAGUAAUGCACAAGAUUCCAUAAUCGGCCAAAAGCUGCCACAAAAUCUAUUUAGACCGAGUCAUCACUUACGUUCUAGCAAGCGUGACUCUUAUAGUUUAUUUAAUACCAGAAUAUCACUGUGUAUUAUUGGGUUGAUUCGAAAAUGGCUUUAUCGUCACCUUGAAUGAGAACUGCGUCAAGGAGGAGACCGUGCUGGAAUGCACCUUGUUGUUUGUUAGCCGAUCUUAUUUCCUUUCUUGCCAGUACCAGCUCUGGUUUUAAACUCACUCCAAAAGUAUUUUGUUGUUAUUCACCUUCCGAAUCGCACGGAUACCGGCGCUCGUCGUUGGCAUUUGUUUGCCGGCCUACAACCAAGGUUUCUUAAUCUUCUUCGGCGUCUCUUUUACAUUUCUUUCACUUGGCUCGUUGUGUUCUAAAUCUGUUCGAGGGGGGCGGAUGUUGCAGUAGCCAAAGAUUGUGACGUCUUUAGUUUGAGUCAUGUGAUUCGAGAGCUGCCGAACGAUCCUCCCGUGCGCUGAGGAAGAAAAGGAUCCAAUUUUAUCUCUGGCAAAGUUUCCGUGACUUAUUUUACAUCUUCGUACAGCGGUCAGAUCUGCGUUUGCCUUUCCCCCAAAAGUCGUUGAAGUUGAUAGAACCUCUUCUCGCCCUCGUCUUUAUCGCCGAUGAUAACGCCGUUUUGUGUUAAGCAGUUUUAUCUCAUACGUGUCACGUUUACUGUUGAUUGGAUCGGUGCACCGAGAGAUAACGGCUUCAUACGUGAAUUUUCCCUUAUGACCU
RNAcentral lists this long non-coding RNA (1370 nucleotides) under Daphnia magna. Its description in RNAcentral is "uncharacterized LOC123476030". The record is from RNAcentral. Lineage: Eukaryota; Metazoa; Arthropoda; Branchiopoda; Diplostraca; Daphniidae.